Molecule: non-coding RNA, 2456 nt
Organism: Rattus norvegicus (Norway rat)
Lineage: Eukaryota; Metazoa; Chordata; Mammalia; Rodentia; Muridae
Source: RefSeq, a predicted model, not a curated record
AUGCUUCCAGGAAGUCCCCCAGUGCCUUACAGGAGUGAUGCCACAUCUAAUGGGGCACGUAAGUCUAAGCAUUGGUGGUUUCCUCAGACUCUUCAACACUUUUUCAGGCUGAGGGGUCUUAGAAUUCUACUCAUGAGAUGCUACAGUCAUUGCCUACAGUCUGAGGAUCACAGCCUAAGCCCUGUCUGUUUCUCCAAGGCAGAGAGACCAAGGGCUGGGUCUGAGACACAGGGCAGUUCCAGCUAGGUUUGCUCACACUGACAAACACAUCAGGGAGCUGACAGCAGCCACAGCCACAGGGCCGGUGUCCUCAGGGUCUAGAAUCACUUUGGAAGCCCUUGGCAACUCUACACUCAUCCUGGGACCACCUCACAGCUGACCCCUCUCCGGAAGACACAGAAGAUAUGGUGAAAAAUAGUCCUUGGCCUGGGAGGACAUACAAAGGAUAGAUUGAAAUUCUCAGGGGCCCCUAUUCUUUGCUGAUGUCUUUUUCUUUGGAGAUAGUAUAGGUUAGAUUUCUAAUAAAGGAAUGUAUGCAUCCUUGACCUAGGGAAAUCUAUUACAGCUGAAUACAAAAAGGCCCAAAGACUCGCCCUCCACCUAAAACUGGCUAUGAAGAAAAAUGAGUAGAAGAAGAAGAAAAAAAGGAGAGAGAGAACCUUUGGGAAAUUUAAAAGAUAUAUUUCACUUUUAAUUAAUUAUGUGUAUGUGUGCCCAGGUAUGGAUACAUGAGUGCAGUGCUCCUGGAAGGCAGAAGAGGGCGCUGGAUCCCCCAAAGCUGGACUCAAAGGCAGGGAAGGCAGCGGGACUGUCUCCUUGCUCCCUGUGCUCAAGGAAUAAGGAGGGUUUGACCUGGCUCCCACUUCCAGGGUCACACAGGAUGGGCUCCUUCCCAGAAAUCUACUGUACCUGCGGCCGGCCAGCCAGCCCAGAUUCCGGGUCUCAGAGAAUUCCAUGAACACCCUUCAAAUUUAUUGCCAUAAGACUCACCUAAGGCCCUGGGUUGGCCGGGAUGGGAAAUCCAUCUUAGGACUGCCUGGUGUCCUUUGUCACUGGAUGUUUCCGGACCUCAGCCCACAACAGAAACAGCCUGGUUUUAUUUCCUUCAAAUCCAUCCGAAGCUCCUGCACUGGUUUACCCACCACACUGCAGAGAAUUGAGCCUUACUCUUAUCACCCGCUCCGUGCUCCUGGGCUUACACAUCAUCCAUCCCCAUCGAGAAAACAGCCUGUGAUAUCCAAUCCAUCUCAUGUGUGGUCCCCGUGGCUCUCUGCCUUGUUCUCCCAUGGAGUUGGAAGACUUAGCCAAGAAGGAGGGUCCAGCUCUGAGACCCCAGCCUCUCAAACGUACCCGCCACCCAGUAGGAGUCCUGGCUCUUUCCUAGAAAUGCAAGCGGGAGUGAAGCAUGGAGCCUUGUUCCCGUGCCACAGACUUAUGAUCAGUUCUCAAUCCAUAAAAAAGAAAAAAAACGUGUCACCCCUUUUAUCUUCCCACCCUGGAGCAUUUUCCCUCGUUUCCCAAUGACAAUCUAGGAGGCCGGCAAGAUCACUUUGGUACAUCCAGGUACCUGGGAAGCAGAAAGUGCCAGUCAUUCUCAAAAUGGACCAAAAAUGCCCCAAUUCCAAUUUUCUGUAAAAUACAAAAAAAUCAAUCACAUCUAUGCCAUGUGGCAAGAACACCCCGGAGUUAGACUACCAGGAGGAGUUGUAUCUGGUGGUCUGAGGCAUCCUUCUUCCUCCUUUCCCAUAUUUCUCUCCAUUUUAGGACUCUGGCCCCUGCCGGUUCUGAGCCCACAAAUAUGAUGGUUUUGGCUUCUGCUACUGAGACAGAUAGGAAGCCUAGCUUGUGGGAUAGGUGACCCUCAGCAAUGGCCUCUCCUUUCUUCCACGGGGCAGCUCCUCCCACUGAAGCCCACCCUGCUUCCUGUUUCUCAGCAGACAAUAUCGAUGCCGAGACUCCCGUUUCAGCAAGGGUGGAAGCUGGUUGUCAUGCUGUGGACACUAAGGCUGCCGUGAUGCCCUGCGUUAAGCUUUUUGGUUCUUCUAACCUGAGACAGUCUCAUAAUUAGGCUUUCUCUUCUUCAGAACUUUGAAGAAUUUUGUUUUGUUUUGUUUUUCUUUUUUUUUUUUUUCCGGAGCUGGGGACCGAACCCAGGGCCUUGUGCUUACUAGGCAAGCGCUCUAUCACUGAGCUAAAUCCCCAACCCUUGAAGAAUUGUUUUUUAUCCUUGCCAGAUCCCACCUUGCUGUCUACCAUUUGCUUCGGGGCCACUUUAUCGGGUAGCAGCUCUGUUCGCUGGGCUGAAAAGGAUGCAAAAUAGUUUCUUUUCUCAUCUUUGUGACCAAAAUGCCUGACAGAAGCAACUUAAGGGAGGAAGGAUUUGAGUAGUCCACCAUAGUGCAACGGGCACAUGUGAAUGUGUGGUGCGUGGGUGCGUGGGUGCGUGGGUGCGUGGG